CCUACGGGGGGCAGCAGUGGGGAAUAUUGCACAAUGGGCGAAAGCCUGAUGCAGCAACGCCGCGUGAGGGACGACGGCCUUCGGGUUGUAAACCUCUUUUAGUUGGGAAGAAGGGAGCUUGCUCUUGACGGUACCAGCAGAAAAAGCACCGGCUAACUACGUGCCAGCAGCCGCGGUAAUACGUAGGGUGCAAGCGUUGUCCGGAAUUAUUGGGCGUAAAGAGCUCGUAGGCGGUUUGUCGCGUCUGCUGUGAAAUCUGGGGGCUCAACCCCCAGCCUGCAGUGGGUACGGGCAGACUAGAGUGCGGUAGGGGAGAUUGGAAUUCCUGGUGUAGCGGUGGAAUGCGCAGAUAUCAGGAGGAACACCGAUGGCGAAGGCAGAUCUCUGGGCCGUUACUGACGCUGAGGAGCGAAAGCAUGGGGAGCGAACAGG
RNAcentral lists this ribosomal RNA (432 nucleotides) under uncultured bacterium. RNAcentral describes it as "bacterial SSU rRNA". It matches the Rfam family "Bacterial small subunit ribosomal RNA", at positions 338 to 776 of the family's 1533-position model. The record is from RNAcentral.